Molecule: ribosomal RNA, 692 nt
Filed under: uncultured Bacilli bacterium
Lineage: Bacteria; Bacillati; Bacillota; Bacilli
Description: bacterial SSU rRNA
Rfam family: Bacterial small subunit ribosomal RNA
Source: RNAcentral
UUCACCGGAGCUUGCUCCACCGAAAGAAAAAGAGUGGCGAACGGGUGAGUAACACGUGGGUAACCUGCCCAUCAGAAGGGGAUAACACUUGGAAACAGGUGCUAAUACCGUAUAACACUAUUUUCCGCAUGGAAGAAAGUUGAAAGGCGCUUUUGUGUCACUGAUGGAUGGACCCGCGGUGCAUUAGCUAGUUGGUGAGGUAACGGCUCACCAAGGCCACGAUGCAUAGCCGACCUGAGAGGGUGAUCGGCCACACUGGGACUGAGACACGGCCCAGACUCCUACGGGAGGCAGCAGUAGGGAAUCUUCGGCAAUGGACGAAAGUCUGACCGAGCAACGCCGCGUGAGUGAAGAAGGUUUUCGGAUCGUAAAACUCUGUUGUUAGAGAAGAACAAGGAUGAGAGUAGAACGUUCAUCCCUUGACGGUAUCUAACCAGAAAGCCACGGCUAACUACGUGCCAGCAGCCGCGGUAAUACGUAGGUGGCAAGCGUUGUCCGGAUUUAUUGGGCGUAAAGCGAGCGCAGGCGGUUUCUUAAGUCUGAUGUGAAAGCCCCCGGCUCAACCGGGGAGGGUCAUUGGAAACUGGGAGACUUGAGUGCAGAAGAGGAGAGUGGAAUUCCAUGUGUAGCGGUGAAAUGCGUAGAUAUAUGGAGGAACACCAGUGGCGAAGGCGGCUCUCUGGUCUGUAACU